This is a long non-coding RNA of Cataglyphis hispanica, 503 nucleotides long. RefSeq lists it as uncharacterized. The record is from RefSeq and is a predicted model, not a curated record. Lineage: Eukaryota; Metazoa; Arthropoda; Insecta; Hymenoptera; Formicidae. The transcript is spliced from 3 exons.
CAAGCUGGAGCACGGGUCGGCGCCUCAGCCGACACAUCAAAUAACACACCAGUCGUCGCAUCAGCCGGCGCGCAAGUUCCCGCUUUUAGAUGGCGCGGACCAAAGGCUGGAUCUAACACAGCGUCCCCAGCUGUGCAAGAGCAGGACCUGCCCAGCAGAGGCCUGGGCCUAGACAUGUCCAAGCAGAAGGAACUGCUGUUGUAUAACAGGAGCAUAAUUUAAACUGGAGACCAAGAGGAAGGCAAUCGGGCCGCUGCCAAAGGGAGCAGCAGUUUCUAAAUUUUUUGUAUAAACUGUCUGCUCUUAGUUUUUAUUGGGGAGAGAGGAGAAGAGGAAGAGGAAGGGGAAGAGGAAGAGGAAGAGGACAAUAAAAAAAGAAGAAUAGAAAAAACACAAAAGUGAAGAGAAAAGAUGAAAAAGUGAGAGAAAAAAUAUGAAGAAAAAAAAAAUAAAAAUAAAAUUAUAUUUCUAAUGAAAAAAUAUUUUAACCAAAUAUAUAUAUU